Zophobas morio is the source of this 737-nucleotide long non-coding RNA. RefSeq lists it as uncharacterized. The transcript has 5 exons. NCBI's taxonomy places the organism in Eukaryota, Metazoa, Arthropoda, Insecta, Coleoptera, Tenebrionidae. The record is from RefSeq and is a predicted model, not a curated record.
UUGGCAUAUAAUGUAAAGGAAAAAUGAGGCACAGGGCAUGACAAGACAUAUUUUAUUAAUCAGAUAAACCAACUGCAACUAGUUUUGACAAUAGGAGGAAGACGUUUAGAGAAAUUAGCAAAGGAAUUAACUUUAAUUAAACUGCUUUUAUUUCCAUUUUAGAGUGGAAGAGAAAAAAAUAGAGACAACAGAAAUAUUGAAGCAACAAAAAGUGAUAUUGUAGUUGGCUACUGGUUGUUACUAACGAUUGACCCCUCUGUUUUUCAGUUGCAUUCGUAAAUGCCAGUACUUUUUCGUUAACCAAAAAUUAUACUCUGAGAGGUCAGCUCUAAUGCGGACAUCCCUCUUUACCGUGUAAGUUUCAUCUAACAUUGAUGUCAAUAAAUGAAGUCCGCUAUUUUGAACAAAUUCUUUAAGGCGACAAGGCGAGCAAUCAACAAGAAGAGCGGUCAACAAUCGUAAACCUUAUGCGACUUGCAAACUUCUUGAGUUGUUGUUAACAGGAUCAAGAACUGUUAGUACAAAUUUAAAACUGAUCAAAUCACGACAGUUACUAUUUGUUAGGCAUAUUCCCUCGAGCAGGUUCAAAGCCUGAAAGGAAGUAAAAGCGUUGCUACUCUAUUCGUAUAACAUAGAAUAGACAAUGGUAUACUACUAGGGAGUACUAAACAAUAUUAAAUCUUUUAUUAUUAAUUUCACUACAAUAAUAGUAAUAGUAUAAAAGUUAACAUUUGUAG